Molecule: ribosomal RNA, 206 nt
Filed under: uncultured delta proteobacterium
Lineage: Bacteria; Deltaproteobacteria
Description: partial 16S ribosomal RNA
Rfam family: Bacterial small subunit ribosomal RNA
Source: RNAcentral
CGCGUAGGCGGUUUUAUAAGUCAGAUGUGAAAGCCCAUGGCUCAACCAUGGACGUGCAUUUGAAACUGUGAGACUUGAGUAUUGGAGGGGUGGUGGAAUUCCCGGUGUAGAGGUGAAAUUCGUAGAUAUCGGGAGGAAUACCAGUGGCGAAGGCGACCACCUGGCCAAAUACUGACGCUAAUGUGCGAAAGCGUGGGGAGCAAACA